CCUACGGGUGGCAGCAGUAGGGAAUAUUGCUCAAUGGGGGAAACCCUGAAGCAGCAACGCCGCGUGGAGGAUGAAGGUUUUAGGAUUGUAAACUCCUUUUGUGAGAGAAGAUAAUGACGGUAUCUCACGAAUAAGCACCGGCUAACUCCGUGCCAGCAGCCGCGGUAAUACGGAGGGUGCAAGCGUUACUCGGAAUCACUGGGCGUAAAGAGUGCGCAGGCGGGCUUGUAAGUCAGAUGUGAAAUCCUGUAGCUUAACUACAGAACUGAAUUUGAUACUGUGAGUCUAGAGUGUGGGAGAGGUAGGGGGAAGGAAUGGUGUAGAGGUAAAAUCAGUAGAGAGCAAAAAGAAUAAUGAGUGCGAAGG
This 366-nucleotide ribosomal RNA is filed under the name uncultured bacterium. RNAcentral describes it as "partial 16S ribosomal RNA". It matches the Rfam family "Bacterial small subunit ribosomal RNA", at positions 338 to 721 of the family's 1533-position model. The record is from RNAcentral.